This 521-nucleotide ribosomal RNA is filed under the name uncultured bacterium. Its description in RNAcentral is "bacterial SSU rRNA". It matches the Rfam family "Bacterial small subunit ribosomal RNA", at positions 10 to 518 of the family's 1533-position model. The record is from RNAcentral.
AGUUUGAUUCUGGCUCAGGAUGAACGCUAGCUACAGGCUUAACACAUGCAAGUCGAGGGGCAGCAUGAUCAAAGCUUGCUUUGAUUGAUGGCGACCGGCGCACGGGUGAGUAACGCGUAUCCAACCUUCCCUAUAGUAGAGGAUAGCCCGGCGAAAGUCGGAUUAAUACUCUAUGUUUUCCAAUGCAGACAUCUAAAAAUGGAACAAAGGUUUACCGCUAUAGGAUGGGGAUGCGUCUGAUUAGAUAGUAGGCGGGGUAACGGCCCACCUAGUCGACGAUCAGUAGGGGUUCUGAGAGGAAGGUCCCCCACAUUGGAACUGAGACACGGUCCAAACUCCUACGGGAGGCAGCAGUGAGGAAUAUUGGUCAAUGGGCGAGAGCCUGAACCAGCCAAGUAGCGUGCCAGGAUGACGGCCCUAUGGGUUGUAAACUGCUUUUAUACAGGGAUAAAGUGCGCCACGUGUGGCGUUUUGUAGGUACUGUAUGAAUAAGGACCGGCUAAUUCCGUGCCAGCAGCCGC